RNAcentral lists this long non-coding RNA (3562 nucleotides) under Cucumis sativus (cucumber). RNAcentral's name for it is "long non-coding RNA (CSAT_LNC002839)". The record is from RNAcentral. Lineage: Eukaryota; Viridiplantae; Streptophyta; Magnoliopsida; Cucurbitales; Cucurbitaceae.
AAACUCUAAGCUCAAAGCUUCAUUGGCCAAAAACACACACAAGCACAAGUGUAAGUGUUACACACAAAGAGUUAUAAUUAAGAAGAAAAUGGCCAAAUUGUUCAUGGCUUUGCUCUUGGCUCUUGUGGCCACUCAUGCCCUAGCUAGACCUACACCAAAGGAUGACACUUUCAGUGACCAAAAGAACUUCCUGACCUAUGGAGGCGUCGGUGGUUACUCUGGCAUCGGCAACAAUGGCCUCCCGUUUGGUGGUCUAGGGGGUGCCAUUGGGGGAGGAGGCCUUGGUGGCGGUCUUGGUGGUGGUCUUGGUGGUGGCCUCGGUGGCGGUACGGGAAUUGGUGGAGGACUAGGUGGACUGGGAGGUCCUGGAGGUGGAUUCGGUGGCAUUGGUGGAACCACUGGCGGUCUUGGCGGUGGUCUCGGGGGUGGACUCGGUGGUGGUCUCGGUGGCGGUGUCGGUGGAGCUUCUGGUGUUACUUAUCCUUGAAUAGUUAUUUAGUUAUGCUUGUUGAUUUUUACUCAAAAAGUUCUUGCAGUUUAAAGUUUGUUUGAUUAAUAUUGUGUCAAGAGAUGUAGUUGUUUAGUUGUUGCUUAAUGACCUUAUAGCAUUUGGUUGUGUUUGGUUUUCUAUUUAAAUUUGGUUGUGAUUAUCUUUUGUUUGUUCACUUUUGUCAGUAUAAAACAAACAUCUGCUUUAGCUGUUCCUUUUUUUUUUUCGGUUUAUAUAUUUAUUUUAUAUUUAAUGAAAAAUGAAUGGGUUGUAUGCAUACUUUUGUCCAAUAUAUAUAUAUAUAUAUAUAUAGUAAUAGUUUAUUCUUUGUGUGGAAGUUUGAGGAUAAUAUAUCAUGCACCAACUGAUCUUUCUUAGAUUCUUGCAAAUGAUUUCUUGUUAAUCAUGAUAUGAUAUAUUGCACCAUGAUGGAAGACCUUGAAAAAAUCGAGUGAGCUCCUAAUCUUUAUAACUACGUGGACUACUUUUAUAAUCGUUAGUUAAUUUUGAGAAACUCUAGUUAUUAAUUAUUAACUUUUAACUUUCAACAAAAUUUGGAAAAGAAAAAAUACAAAAUCUAUCUUUUUGCUUAAUAAAAUAUAAAUACGAUCAUUUGUACGUUAUAAAUAUUUUACAAGUUGGCUAGGAUGAUUUAUAAUGCUGAUAAAAUUAUUGAAUAAUCAAGGACAUUGUCACUUAGUAAAGAAACUAAACAGAGAAUGUAUGAUGGGAAAUAAUAUCUUAAACAACUCUAUUUAAUUAACAUGAAGUAAUAUAUAUUAUUUAUGAGAAUUUCAAAUUUUGAGGGAAACCCUCCUAAGUGUUACCUAUUGUUAUUUUUUUAGAAUAAUGGUUAUUAAGUGUGUUAUAACAGACAAGAUUAAAUGUAACAUAAAAUUAGUUAAAAUAACAAUUAAUGCCUAAUUAAUUGAAAAUAUCUAAAAAUAAAUUUUAUUUGCUGUACUAUGUUUUUAAUUUCAACAUUUAUAUCAAAUUUAAUUUUCCACUGCAAAAACAUUAUUAUGAAAACAAAAAUAAGAUUUCAACAAAUGCUAAACAUUAGGGAUGACAGAUAAUAUAGCUGAACUAAUUGAUUCAUCAGUUCCCACAGCUCAAUAGAUAAAAACUUUACUUACCAUUUGUAUAUUAGUUAUCAGAAAUUUUAUUUUUUUCUUUUAAUUCCAAGUUGUUAUAUAAAAUAAUAUUGUUUUACUUUAGGGAAAAAGCUCCUCUCUCUAUUGUUUCUUUUCAACUAAGUAUAUUUUAUAUACGCAUGAAUGCAUGUCACACAAAUUAAUUAUAUGCAUAUACUUUAUAAUGUCCCCUACCAACAAAUAUUCUAGUCAUUAACCAAAUAUAUUUGUACCUAAUUGAAAAGCAAAGGCUAAAAGGGCAGAUUUUUUCCAAGCCCUAAUGGAUAUGGCCAUUGGAUUCUUUUAUUUGAUGACCCUAAUUAAAGAGGUGUCCACAAUUGUUAGGUAUAGCUCAUUAAAACACUGCCCAUUCAUGAUAAGAUUUGCCCUAAAUUAUAGGACACACAAGGGCUAACCAAUUCCCAUGGCUUAUCCCUUGAACAAAUUAAAACAUGGAAAGUAAUUGCUGAGAGAAAAUACCCAUAAAGGUAAUUUCACAAUACAAAGACCACGUGGCGAUUGUAUAUAUAUUUAGAUAUAAGGAGAGAAUUAAAAUUGAUAGGGUCUUCAAGGAAUAAUCAAUGUGUUAUCCUUUGGUCAAUUUUAAACUAAACAAUGUCUUAGUUAGCCUUCAAUCAAAACUCUUGCUGUUGGUUGAUAGGUAGCAUUAUCAAAAAUCAAAUUAAGAAGAUGACUCAUAAUAGUAUAAUCAAAAUUCUUCGAAAAUCACUCAUAUGGAGUAUACGUUAGGAGAAGUUCGAUGUACAUGGAGAGGUUCGAAUAUCUGACCUCUUAAAUGCGUGUAUCUUUUUUAUCGUUUAGUUAUAUACUAAAUCAAUUAAAUUUAAUUUGUAAGGAUCAUUAUUGGCAAUAAAUUGAUACAAUAUAACUACUUUAUAAUGUAAAGGAAGACAUUGGGGUACAAAUCCAUAUGGACGUAGUGUAUGGCUAGUAUAUAAGGACCAUGUGCAAUAAAUUUUAGUCAAUCAAGUCAUUUUCGAUUAUUUUAUGUAUACUCUAUUAAGAAAGUACCUAUUUUCUUUUGGCUUGAUAAUUAGGUGCUAUUUGGUCCAUCAUCUUCUUGAGUUGGUGUGAACAACUCAACCUUUUAUUUUUUUAAAAUUAAAUGUUAUUAAAAUUUGCAUAUUUAUCGAGUAAAUGCGCAUCUUUUAGAGAAAAAAAAUUACAUUUAUCAAGAAAUUUUGUCCUUCUUUUUAUCUCUAUUCUUCACAAUUAUCGAUAAAUUUUAUCUUACAACUCUAAACCUCAAACACAAGGUUACUAACUCCAACAUAUUCACUCCACAAUAUUCACUCUUCACUUAUUUGGGCUAAACACCCUCUUAAAAAUGAAGGAUGAAUAUAUUACCUUUAAGCUAAGUUUGAUUUGAAAUUGUAUAUAAGAUACUAAUUUAAACCAGCUUAAAAAGGAUUUUAGAUCAUGUUUAUCUAAUAAGAAAAGUAUUCCCUCAAUAGUAACAUGAGAAAAUGAAUCUCUUUAUUACACGCUAAUUUGUUGUUGUUUAACUAUAUCCUACAAUCAUAACCAAAUGUUAGAUCCACUAACCAAAUUUGAGUUAGUGUGAUUAUUCUUUUUACGUUGGAGAAGAAUGUUAUUGCAUCCAUGCUAGCUUUUUAUAGAUCUAUAUAUACUUGAUUUUUGAAUUUUUGCAUGAAAAUAUGCUACAAUAUAAUGUAUGAAAACUAUGAACAAUUACCAUCGGUGUAUGCUAAUUAUUGAUUGAUCCUAAACAUGGUAAGGAUCACAAUAACGAUAAAAAGAAAAUGAUACUAGACAAUGCAAAGUAAAGAAUCUUUAACCAUAAUCCAAUUAUACGCUUGUAAUUAAUUAAUUAUGAUGAAUCCUCCUAUAUAUAAAUUUUCUCACCAAUUUUUAUUAUAGAUGAAUAAACUUGGCCUUAAUACACCUUUUUUUUUUU